UAAAAGCACGUGAAGCCGUUGAAAGGGAAACGCGCUCGGCUAGCAAUGUGCCGCGGUGGUUCAGCCGGUUUGGCGGUGGAGCUCGCGUCUGUCGGAUCCGAAUGGACCGCAGCCGCGCGGCCGUCCGCUGUCGGACUGCGGUGCACUCUACCGUGGCACGCGUCAGCGUCGGUUGGCAGCCGGCGACAAGGCCAGCAGGAAGGUAGCUCGGAGCUUGCUGCGAGUAUUAUAGCCCGCUGUGCUGGGUCUGCUGCCGACCGAGGAGAGAGAUGAUCGCUGCAGCGCAUGCCGCAAGGCUAGCUGCCCGCUGUUCGGUGUGCUGCACGAGCUGAGGACUGCACGCAGUGUUCGGUUCGGCGCGGUGGCCGGACGGUGGAGUGGUAUAAAUGCGCUUCGGACGCUGGCGUCCAAAUGGCCGUGCGCGA
RNAcentral lists this ribosomal RNA (425 nucleotides) under Janusya adusta. RNAcentral describes it as "partial large subunit ribosomal RNA". Lineage: Eukaryota; Metazoa; Porifera; Calcarea; Clathrinida; Clathrinidae. The record is from RNAcentral.